AGAAUCAACGCUGGUGGCGUGCCUAACACAUGCAAGUCGCACGAGAAAGGGUAGCAAUACCUGAGUAAAGUGGCGCACGGGUGAGUAACACGUGAAUUAUCUACCUCCGAGUGGGGAAUAACUGAGAGAAAUCUUAGCUAAUACCGCAUAACACUUACGAGUCAAAGCAGCAAUGCGCUUGGAGAGGAGUUCGCGGCAGAUUAGUUAGUUGGCGGGGUAAUGGCCCACCAAGACGAUGAUCUGUA
This 245-nucleotide ribosomal RNA is filed under the name uncultured bacterium. RNAcentral's name for it is "partial small subunit ribosomal RNA". It matches the Rfam family "Bacterial small subunit ribosomal RNA", at positions 26 to 285 of the family's 1533-position model. The record is from RNAcentral.